UUAUUUUUGUUUAAUUUUUUAUUUAUUGUUUGUAUUUUAAAUAGAAAUAACUUUUUUUUUAGUAUUUUUUAAAGAAUAAAUAAAAUUUAUUUAUAGUUUAUUUUACUGUGAAGGAUAAUAUUUAUAAACUUUUAAGUAAAAUUUAUUAUUUGUACCUUUUGUAUCAGGGUUUAUUUAAUUUAUUUUAUUUAUUAAUAAAUUUCCCGAAAUUAAAAGAUCUAUUAAACUUUUGUUUUUUAAUGUAACAAAAUUAUUUGUAAAAUUUUAAUAGGGGUUAUAUGCUAUUCAUUUUUAUAUAUCUGGUUUUUUGAUAAUUGAAUUUAAUUCAGAACUAUCUAAUUCCAACAGAUCAAUUUAUUUUUUUUGUUAUUAGAUAGUUUAAAUUUUAUAGGGAUAAGCUUGUAAUAUAUUCUAUAAAUAUAUAAUUUUAAUAAAUUUAGUAGGAUUAAAAAUUUUCAUCAUUUAUUUUGUUAUAAUUAAUUUUAUAAUAUAUUUAAUUUUUAUGUAUUUUAGUUUUUUAUCAGGAUUUAUUAUUUAAUUUUUGUUUAAUAGUAAUAAUGAUAAAAUUAGUAAAUUUUUUAUUAGGUAAUAUAUAGUAACUCGGCAAUAUUAUUCUUCACCUGUUUAACAAAAACAUGUCCUAAUGUCUUAAAAUAUUAGGUCUGGCCUGCUCAAUGAUUUAUAAUUAAAUAGCCGCAGUAUUUUGACUGUGCGAAGGUAGCAUAAUCAUUUGUCUUUUAAUUGAAGGCUUGAAUGAAUGGUCGGAUGGGGGAAUAACUUUCUUUAUAUUAUAAAAUUUAAUUUAAUUUUUAAGUUAAAAAGCUUAAAUUUUUAAGUGGGACGAGAAGACCCUAUAGAAUUUAAUUCUUUCUCUUUAUAGAAUAUUUUUUGUUUAUUAUUUUUUUAUUUGGGGGGGAAUUUUGUUGGGGUGACAUUGAGAUUUUUAUAACUCUCAUAUUUUAUUUUUUUAUUAAUUUUUAUAUUUAAAAUCCUUUAUUAUGGAAUUUAGAUUAAAUUACCUUAGGGAUAACAGCGUAAUUUUUUUGGAGAGUUCUUAUCGAUGGAAAAGUUUGCGACCUCGAUGUUGGAUUAAAAUUAGAUUUAAGUGCAGAAGCUUAAUGAUCUAGGUCUGUUCGACCUUUAAAUUUUUACAUGAUCUGAGUUCAGACCGGCGUGAGCCAGGUCGGUUUCUAUCUUCUUAUAUUAUUAUUGUGAAUUAGUACGAAAGGACCAUUUACAUCAAAUAUUUUGUUUAUAUUUUAGAAUAUU
This 1269-nucleotide ribosomal RNA is filed under the name Glaucias dorsalis. RNAcentral's name for it is "16S ribosomal RNA". The stretch from base 835 to 1199 matches the Rfam family "Archaeal large subunit ribosomal RNA", at positions 2151 to 2715 of the family's 2987-position model. The record is from RNAcentral. Lineage: Eukaryota; Metazoa; Arthropoda; Insecta; Hemiptera; Pentatomidae.